Molecule: long non-coding RNA, 209 nt
Filed under: Lathyrus oleraceus (garden pea)
Lineage: Eukaryota; Viridiplantae; Streptophyta; Magnoliopsida; Fabales; Fabaceae
Description: Pisum sativum (pea) long non-coding RNA (PSAT_LNC037734)
Source: RNAcentral
CGCCGAGCGAUUGGGAGUACAAGAUGAUGGAGCAGAAAGGGUCUAGACGAGUCUGGGAGUUCUCAAAAGUAGAAAGCUGAUACGAGAUUGGGAGGUAGAUACCGUGGUUCGACGAGUCGACGGGUGUUCUAAGCGAUUGGGAGUACAAGAUGAUGGAGCAGAAAGGGUCUAGACGAGUCUGGGAGUUCUCAAAAGUAGAAAGCUGAUAC